Molecule: ribosomal RNA, 468 nt
Filed under: uncultured bacterium
Lineage: Bacteria
Description: partial 16S ribosomal RNA
Rfam family: Bacterial small subunit ribosomal RNA
Source: RNAcentral
GACGAACGCUGGCGGCGUGCUUAACACAUGCAAGUCGAACGGAAAGGCCCUGCUUUUGUGGGGUGCUCGAUUGGCGAACGGGUGAGUAACACGUGAGUAACCUGCCCUUGACUUUGGGAUAACUUCAGGAAACUGGGGCUAAUACCGGAUAUGAGCUCCUGCUGCAUGGUGGGGGUUGGAAAGUUUCGGCGGUUGGGGAUGGACUCGCGGCUUAUCCGCUUGUUGGUGUGGUAGUGGCUUACCAAGCCUUGGACGGGUAGCCGGCCUGAGAGGGUGACCGGCCACAUUGGGACUGAGAGACGGACCAGAAUCGUACGGGAGGCAGCAGUGGGGAAUAUUGCACAAUGGGCGGAAGCCUGAUGCAGAAACGCCGCGUGCGGGAUGACGGCCUUCGGGUUGUAAACCGCUUUCGCCUGUGACGAAGCGUGAGUGACGGUAAUGGGUAAAGAAGCACCGGCUAACUACGUG